Molecule: ribosomal RNA, 250 nt
Filed under: uncultured bacterium
Lineage: Bacteria
Description: partial 16S ribosomal RNA
Rfam family: Bacterial small subunit ribosomal RNA
Source: RNAcentral
AACGUAGGUGGCAAGCGUUAUCCGGAUUCACUGGGCGUAAAGGGCACGCAGGCGGCUCGGCAGGUAGGGCAUGAAAUCUCCCGGCUUAACUGGGAGGGGCUGUCCUAAACCGCUGGGCUUGAGGGCGGGAGAGGGAAGUGGAAUUGCCGGUGUAGUGGUGAAAUGCGUAGAGAUCGGCAGGAACACCAGUGGCGAAGGCGACUUCCUGGUCCGCCCCUGACGCUCAUGUGCGAAAGCUAGGGUAGCGAAC